GAGUUUGAUCCUGGCUCAGAUUGAACGCUGGCGGCAUGCCUUACACAUGCAAGUCGAACGGCAGCACGGGAGCUUGCUCCUGGUGGCGAGUGGCGAACGGGUGAGUAAUAUAUCGGAACGUACCCUAGAGUGGGGGGUAACGCAGCGAAAGUUGCGCUAAUACCGCAUACGAUCUACGGAUGAAAGUGGGGGAUCGCAAGACCUCAUGCUCAUGGAGCGGCCGAUAUCUGAUUAGCUAGUUGGUGGGGUAAAGGCCUACCAAGGCUUCGAUCAGUAGCUGGUCUGAGAGGACGACCAGCCACACUGGAACUGAGACACGGUCCAGACUCCUACGGGAGGCAGCAGUGGGGAAUUUUGGACAAUGGGCGAAAGCCUGAUCCAGCAAAGCCGCGUGAGUGAAGAAGGCCUUCGGGUUGUAAAGCUCUUUUGUCAGGGAAGAAACGGUGGACUCUAAUACAGAUCACUAAUGACGGUACCUGAAGAAUAAGCACCGGCUAACUACGUGCCAGCAGCCGCGGUAAUACGUAGGGUGCAAGCGUUAAUCGGAAUUACUGGGCGUAAAGCGUGCGCAGGCGGUUUGGUAAGACAGAUGUGAAAUCCCCGGGCUCAACCUGGGAAUUGCAUUUGUGACUGCCCGGCUAGAGUGUGUCAGAGGGGGGUAGAAUUCCACGUGUAGCAGUGAAAUGCGUAGAGAUGUGGAGGAAUACCGAUGGCGAAGCAGCCCCCUGGGAUAACACUGACGCUCAUGCACGAAAGCGUGGGGAGCAAACAGGAUUAGAUACCCUGGUAGUCACGCCCUAAACGAUGUCUACUAGUUGUCGGGACUUAAUUGUCUUGGUAACGCAGCUAACGCGUGAAGUAGACCGCCUGGGGAGUACGGUCGCAAGAUUAAAACUCAAAGGAAUUGACGGGGACCCGCACAAGCGGUGGAUGAUGUGGAUUAAUUCGAUGCAACGCGAAAAACCUUACCUACCCUUGACAUGUACGGAAUCCUUGAGAGAUCAGGGAGUGCCCGAAAGAGAACCGUAACACAGGUGCUGCAUGGCUGUCGUCAGCUCGUGUCGUGAGAUGUUGGGUUAAGUCCCGCAACGAGCGCAACCCUUGUCAUUAGUUGCUACGAAAGGGCACUCUAAUGAGACUGCCGGUGACAAACCGGAGGAAGGUGGGGAUGACGUCAAGUCCUCAUGGCCCUUAUGGGUAGGGCUUCACACGUCAUACAAUGGUACAUACAGAGGGCCGCCAACCCGCGAGGGGGAGCUAAUCCCAGAAAGUGUAUCGUAGUCCGGAUUGUAGUCUGCAACUCGACUACAUGAAGUUGGAAUCGCUAGUAAUCGCGGAUCAGCAUGUCGCGGUGAAUACGUUCCCGGGUCUUGUACACACCGCCCGUCACACCAUGGGAGCGGGUUUCACCAGAAGUAGGUAGCCUAACCGUAAGGAGGGCGCUUACCACGGUGGGAUUCGUGACUGGGGUGAAGUCGUAACAAGGUAACC
This 1491-nucleotide ribosomal RNA is filed under the name uncultured bacterium. RNAcentral describes it as "bacterial SSU rRNA". It matches the Rfam family "Bacterial small subunit ribosomal RNA". The record is from RNAcentral.